UUACGGUCACAUCGUGUUGAAACACCGGUUUCCGUACGAUCACCGAAGUUAAGCAACGUUGAGCCUGGUUAGUACCUAGAUGGGUGACCGCUUGGGAAUGUCAAAUGCUGUA
Acanthosepion pharaonis is the source of this 112-nucleotide non-coding RNA. The record is from the annotation of a GenBank genome assembly. Lineage: Eukaryota; Metazoa; Mollusca; Cephalopoda; Sepiida; Sepiidae.